UGGCUCAGCCCAGCUCCUGCCUAGGAAAGCCUUAGUGUUGGGAGGGACCCUGAUGACUGAGGAGCCUGGUAGUUCCAGGUCGCCCACACUUUCAGGUCUCUUGCACCAGAAGGUGGCAGGAUCCAUUGGGAGGAAACAGAUCGCCUUGGAAGGCGUCCCUGGGCCCCCAUCCCCAGGGGUAGGGGCCGUAGGGGGCCCGCUCUGCUGUCUUGACCAGACUCCUGGGCUUUGAAGGCUCCUGGGCCCAGUAAGAAGGAGGUGGGUGCCAAGGUUGAGGAGGAAGCAUCCGAGUAUGUGUAGGAGGAGGACAGGGUGGGACCAUAGACUUUGCCAAAAGCUGCAGGUGGAUCGGGGGACCCUGGGGGCUCAGGAUCUAGCAAGGGGCGGCAGGAGUAAAGGAGGAAGGAAUGACAGGUGCAAAUACCUUCCCACCAAAGCCCUUGUUGCCCUCUGGCUCCUCCCCAGAGUUGUCCCCACUCUCAGUCGGUCACCCACUCCUUGAACUUGAGAUCAGUGUCAGUGGUGCUAAAGCCAUCAUCAGCAAUGACAUCAUCACCCCCUCCUCCUCAUGGAUGACCGUGUGCUCCUCGUCACUCGCUAUGUCCUCACUGGCCAUGUGCUGGGAAUGAGCAGCUCAGGUGGGCAGCAGCAGGGCUGCCCACUGGUCACCUCCCUCACCAGGGGCUGCAAAGUGGCCUGGAGCUCCAUACUGAGUAGAAGGCUUUGGGCCAGAGUAUGAUGCAGUGCCAGACACCACCUGUGUCAGUUCCUGUAGUGCCUGACGGUCUAUUUCCCUGCCGUCCAGGCUGUGUACCCCACUGUGGGAGAAGGCUUGGCCUCUGAGCUGGACUUCUUUUGGUCCUUGUUGCAAGU
Molecule: long non-coding RNA, 873 nt
Filed under: Homo sapiens (human)
Lineage: Eukaryota; Metazoa; Chordata; Mammalia; Primates; Hominidae
Description: HSALNT0298801
Source: RNAcentral